Long non-coding RNA from Stegodyphus dumicola, 465 nucleotides. RefSeq lists it as uncharacterized. Lineage: Eukaryota; Metazoa; Arthropoda; Arachnida; Araneae; Eresidae. The record is from RefSeq and is a predicted model, not a curated record.
GGGAAGCGAAGAGGCAGCAACUUUUUGGAUUUGGUCGGCUGCACGGAUAAAGGAUAGUGAAGGAGAAAGCUGAAUGAAAAGAAGCGAGCAAAUGGCGUAUGGCCCUGGGCUUGACUAUAUGGAAGGAAUGAAGACGCUGGAAGUCUGAGCCCGAGUUUUGGCAGAGACCUAUGGCCAGCUUGUCCAAGAGCUAUGACGAGGAAACACAAUCAUCCUUCUGCGUUUCCCCCGCUUCGAGGGACGGAUCAUAGAUUCCAGGUUUUCCCUCAACAACACUUAUAAGUGCCAAUCAAGUUACUUUAAAGUGCAGAAAGGUUGCCUUACUAAUGCAGGUAAUUUUAUCAAAUGGCACCUAUAAAUUGGGAAAUAUUGAGCAUUCAUGAAAUGUGGAAAUGUUUAAGUAAAUUAUAACAAUUAUUUAUUUUUCAUGCACCAAAAUGACAAUUCAUGUACGACAAUAAGUUC